Molecule: ribosomal RNA, 541 nt
Filed under: Bifidobacterium breve
Lineage: Bacteria; Bacillati; Actinomycetota; Actinomycetes; Bifidobacteriales; Bifidobacteriaceae
Description: bacterial SSU rRNA
Rfam family: Bacterial small subunit ribosomal RNA
Source: RNAcentral
GGGUGGUAAUGCCGGAUGCUCCAUCACACUGCAUGGUGUGUUGGGAAAGCCUUUGCGGCAUGGGAUGGGGUCGCGUCCUAUCAGCUUGAUGGCGGGGUAACGGCCCACCAUGGCUUCGACGGGUAGCCGGCCUGAGAGGGCGACCGGCCACAUUGGGACUGAGAUACGGCCCAGACUCCUACGGGAGGCAGCAGUGGGGAAUAUUGCACAAUGGGCGCAAGCCUGAUGCAGCGACGCCGCGUGAGGGAUGGAGGCCUUCGGGUUGUAAACCUCUUUUGUUAGGGAGCAAGGCAUUUUGUGUUGAGUGUACCUUUCGAAUAAGCACCGGCUAACUACGUGCCAGCAGCCGCGGUAAUACGUAGGGUGCAAGCGUUAUCCGGAAUUAUUGGGCGUAAAGGGCUCGUAGGCGGUUCGUCGCGUCCGGUGUGAAAGUCCAUCGCUUAACGGUGGAUCCGCGCCGGGUACGGGCGGGCUUGAGUGCGGUAGGGGAGACUGGAAUUCCCGGUGUAACGGUGGAAUGUGUAGAUAUCGGAAAAAAAAC